GUGUGAAGUUACGUGGUCAUUGGGGGUUAGUCCUAGGUCCUAGGCGUGUUGGGAUAAGUU
RNAcentral lists this unclassified non-coding RNA (60 nucleotides) under synthetic construct. The record is from RNAcentral.